CCUGGCUCAGGAUGAACGCUAGCGGCAGGCCUAACACAUGCAAGUCGAGGGAGGAGCCUUCGGGCUUCGACCGGCGUACGAGUGCGUAACGCGUAUACAAUCUUCCUUUCACCUAGGGAUAGCCCGAAGAAAUUUGGAUUAAUACCUAAUGGUAUACAGAUGUUGCAUCACAUUUAUAUUAAAGCUGAGGCGGUGAAAGAUGAGUAUGCGUUCUAUUAGCUAGUUGGAGAGGUAACGGCUCCCCAAGGCUACGAUAGAUAGGGGUUCUGAGAGGGAUAUCCCCCACACUGGUACUGAGAUACGGACCAGACUCCUACGG
RNAcentral lists this ribosomal RNA (319 nucleotides) under uncultured bacterium. RNAcentral's name for it is "bacterial SSU rRNA". It matches the Rfam family "Bacterial small subunit ribosomal RNA", at positions 18 to 344 of the family's 1533-position model. The record is from RNAcentral.